RNAcentral lists this ribosomal RNA (253 nucleotides) under uncultured bacterium. Its description in RNAcentral is "partial 16S ribosomal RNA". It matches the Rfam family "Bacterial small subunit ribosomal RNA", at positions 524 to 776 of the family's 1533-position model. The record is from RNAcentral.
UACGUAGGGGGCAAGCGUUGUCCGGAUUCAUUGGGCGUAAAGAGCGUGUAGGCGGCCAGGUAGGUCGGUUGUGAAAACUGGAGGCUCAACCUUCAGAGGUCGACCGAAACCAUCUGGCUAGAGUCCGGGAGAGGAGAGUGGAAUUCCUGGUGUAGCGGUGAAAUGCGCAGAUAUCGGGAGGAACACCUGUGGCGAAAGCGGCUCACUGGACCACAACUGACGCUGAGGCGCGAAAGCUAGGGGAGCAAACAGG